CUACGGGGGGCACCAGUGAGGAAUAUUGCACAAUGGGGGGAACCCUGAUGCAGCAACGCCGCGUGGAGGAUGACGCAUUUCGGUGUGUAAACUCCUUUUAUAUGUCAAGAAAUGACGGUAGCAUAUGAAUAAGCACCGGCUAACUCCGUGCCAGCAGCCGCGGUAAUACGGAGGGUGCAAGCGUUACUCGGAAUCACUGGGCGUAAAGGACGCGUAGGCGGGUUGGAAGGUCAGGGUGUGAAAUCCUACAGCUUAACUGUAGAACUGCACUUGAAACUUCUAAUCUAGAGUAUGGGAGGGGGAGAUGGAAUUAGUGGUGUAGGGGUAAAAUCCGUAGAUAUCACUAGGAAUACCUAAAGCGAAGGCGAUCUCCUGGAACAUUACUGACGCUAAGGCGUGAAAGCGUGGGGAGCAAACAGGAUUAGAUACCCUAGUAGUC
Molecule: ribosomal RNA, 439 nt
Filed under: uncultured bacterium
Lineage: Bacteria
Description: partial 16S ribosomal RNA
Rfam family: Bacterial small subunit ribosomal RNA
Source: RNAcentral